This 253-nucleotide ribosomal RNA is filed under the name uncultured bacterium. RNAcentral's name for it is "partial 16S ribosomal RNA". It matches the Rfam family "Bacterial small subunit ribosomal RNA", at positions 524 to 776 of the family's 1533-position model. The record is from RNAcentral.
UACAGAGGUCCCAAGCGUUGUUCGGAUUCACUGGGCGUAAAGGGUGAGUAGGUGGUGGAUUAAGUCGGGUGUGAAAUCUCCGGGCUCAACCCGGAGCGUGCGCCCGAAACUGAUUCGCUAGAGGAUGGGAGGGGAGACUGGAAUUCUCGGUGUAGCAGUGAAAUGCGUAGAUAUCGAGAGGAACACCGGUGGCGAAGGCGAGUCUCUGGACCAUUCCUGACACUGAAUCACGAAAGCCGGGGGAGCAAACAGG